GGCUAAACAUAUUACCGAAGCUGUGGAUUGUCCUUUGGACAAUGGUAGGAGAGCGUUCUAAGGGCGUCGAAGCAUGAUCGCAAGGACAUGUGGAGCGCUUAGAAGUGAGAAUGCCGGUGUGAGUAGCGAAAGACGGGUGAGAAUCCCGUCCACCGAUUGACUAAGGUUUCCAGAGGAAGGCUCGUCCGCUCUGGGUUAGUCGGGUCCUAAGCUGAGGCCGACAGGCGUAGGCGAUGGAUAACAGGUUGAUAUUCCUGUACCACCUAGUAUCGUUUUAAUCGAUGGGGGGACGCAGUAGGAUAGGCGAAGCGUGCUGUUGGAGUGCACGUCCAAGCAGUAAGGCUGAGUGUUAGGCAAAUCCGGCACUCAUAAGGCUGAGCUGUGAUGGGGAGAGGAAAUUGUUUCCUCGAGUCGUUGAUUUCACACUGCCGAGAAAAGCCUCUAGAUAGAUAACAGGUGCCCGUACCGCAAACCGACACAGGUAGUCAAGAUGAGAAUUCUAAGG
RNAcentral lists this ribosomal RNA (505 nucleotides) under Enterobacter sp. HN503E2II. Its description in RNAcentral is "bacterial LSU rRNA". It matches the Rfam family "Bacterial large subunit ribosomal RNA", at positions 1179 to 1686 of the family's 2925-position model. The record is from RNAcentral. Lineage: Bacteria; Pseudomonadati; Pseudomonadota; Gammaproteobacteria; Enterobacterales; Enterobacteriaceae.